This 456-nucleotide ribosomal RNA is filed under the name uncultured Actinomycetes bacterium. RNAcentral describes it as "bacterial SSU rRNA". It matches the Rfam family "Bacterial small subunit ribosomal RNA", at positions 950 to 1408 of the family's 1533-position model. The record is from RNAcentral. Lineage: Bacteria; Bacillati; Actinomycetota; Actinomycetes.
UUCGACGCAACGCGAAGAACCUUACCAAGGCUUGACAUAUACAGGAAUAUGGCAGAGAUGUCAUAGCCGCAAGGUCUGUUAUACAGGUGGUGCAUGGUUGUCGUCAGCUCGUGUCGUGAGAUGUUGGCUUAAGUCCCGCAACGAGCGCAACCCUCGUUCUGUGUUGCCAGCAUUUAGUUGGGGACUCACAGGAGACUGCCGGGGUUAACUCGGAGGAAGGUGGGGAUGACGUCAAAUCAUCAUGCCCCUUAUGUCUUGGGCUGCACGCAUGCUACAAUGGCUGGUACAAACGGCUGCAAUACCGCAAGGUGGAGCGAAUCCGAGAAAGCCAGUCUCAGUUCGGAUUGGGGUCUGCAACUCGACCCCAUGAAGUCGGAGUUGCUAGUAAUCGUAGAUCAGCAACGCUACGGUGAAUACGUUCCCGGGGCUUGUACACACCGCCCGUCACGUCACGAA